AGGCAGCAGUGAGGAAUAUUGGUCAAUGGGCGCAAGCCUGAACCAGCCAUGCCGCGUGCAGGACGACGGUCCUAUGGAUUGUAAACUGCUUUUAUACAGGAAGAAACACUCGGACGUGUCCGAGCUUGACGGUACUGUAGGAAUAAGGAUCGGCUAACUCCGUGCCAGCAGCCGCGGUAAUACGGAGGAUCCAAGCGUUAUCCGGAAUCAUUGGGUUUAAAGGGUCCGUAGGCGGUUUAAUAAGUCAGUGGUGAAAUCCUACCGCUUAACGAUAGAACGGCCAUUGAUACUGUUAGACUUGAACUAGUGGGAAGUAACUAGAAUAUGUAGUGUAGCGGUGAAAUGCUUAGAUAUUACAUGGAAUACCAAUUGCGAAGGCAGGUUACUAUCACUAUAUUGACGCUGAUGGACGAAAGCGUGGGGAGCGAACAGGAUUAGAUACCCUGGUAGUCCACGCCGUAAACGAUGGAUACUAGCUGUUCGGAGCAAUCUGAGUGGCUAAGCGAAAGUGAUAAGUAUCCCACCUGGGGAGUACGUUCGCAAGAAUGAAACUCAAAG
RNAcentral lists this ribosomal RNA (558 nucleotides) under uncultured Bacteroidota bacterium. RNAcentral's name for it is "bacterial SSU rRNA". It matches the Rfam family "Bacterial small subunit ribosomal RNA", at positions 346 to 906 of the family's 1533-position model. The record is from RNAcentral. Lineage: Bacteria; Pseudomonadati; Bacteroidota.